This 252-nucleotide ribosomal RNA is filed under the name uncultured bacterium. RNAcentral's name for it is "partial 16S ribosomal RNA". It matches the Rfam family "Bacterial small subunit ribosomal RNA", at positions 524 to 776 of the family's 1533-position model. The record is from RNAcentral.
UACGAAGGGGGCGAGCGUUGUUCAGAAUUACUGGGCGUAAGGGCGCGUAGGCGGCGACUCAAGUUAGAUGUGAAAGUCCUGGGCUUAACCUGAGGACUGCAUUUGAUACUGGGUUGCUUGAAUUCGGGAGAGGAUAGCGGAAUUCCCAGUGUAGAGGUGAAAUUCGUAGAUAUUGGGAAGAACACCGGUGGCGAAGGCGGCUAUCUGGACCGACAUUGACGCUGAGGCGCGAAAGCGUGGGGAGCAAACAGG